This 368-nucleotide ribosomal RNA is filed under the name uncultured organism. Its description in RNAcentral is "bacterial SSU rRNA". It matches the Rfam family "Bacterial small subunit ribosomal RNA", at positions 526 to 896 of the family's 1533-position model. The record is from RNAcentral.
CGGAGGGUGCAAGCGUUAUCCGGAUUUACUGGGUUUAAAGGGUGCGUAGGCGGGCCUUUAAGUCAGUGGUGAAAGCUCCGAGCUUAACUCGGAAACUGCCAUUGAUACUAUUGGUCUUGAAUUCGGUUGAGGUUGGCGGAAUGUGUCGUGUAGCGGUGAAAUGCUUAGAUAUGACACAGAACACCGAUUGCGAAGGCAGCUAGCUAAACCGACAUUGACGCUGAGGCACGAAAGCGUGGGGAUCAAACAGGAUUAGAAACCCUGGUAGUCCACGCCCUAAACUAUGAUUACUCGAUGUUGGCGAUACACUGCCAGCGUCUAAGCGAAAGCAUUAAGUAAUCCACCUGGGGAGUACGAUCGCAAGAUUG